AAAAAUACGAUCAUAUUACCUCAUAUAUUUCUGGAAUAAGGCCGGAAGUUUCUACCCAGCACCGAGAAUGCUGGACUAUGAGGGAAGGUGAAAAUGUG
Regulatory RNA element from Bacilli bacterium VT-13-104, 98 nucleotides. It matches the Rfam family "Purine riboswitch aptamer". Rfam says of the family: Riboswitches are metabolite binding domains within certain messenger RNAs that serve as precision sensors for their corresponding targets. The record is from Rfam. NCBI's taxonomy places the organism in Bacteria, Bacillati, Bacillota, Bacilli.